RNAcentral lists this long non-coding RNA (528 nucleotides) under Numida meleagris (helmeted guineafowl). RNAcentral describes it as "lncRNA (ENSNMEG00000022135.1)". Lineage: Eukaryota; Metazoa; Chordata; Aves; Galliformes; Numididae. The record is from RNAcentral.
AGAUCUUCACAUCCAGCUGAGACUUCUGCUUUACUAACAUCUAUGUUGUAUCAGUGUCAUGUGAUGCUCUGGUCCAUUGUUGCAAUGCUGAGCUUUCAGUGUCUAAUGCUUUCCUGAGUGUAAGGCAUCUCUGAAUGCUUUAUGAACCCCGAACACACCAGGCAGUAUGGAAUCCUGGGCAGACUCAAGAAUGACAACUGUGAAUUAGUAACAAGCAGCACUGAGACAGGGGUUCUUUAAAUGGAUAAAAGAUGUUUGGCCAGGUGGCUAAAAGAAGCAGAGCACCAGUGAAAUGAGAUGGCAUCAGGAGAGGUGAAAAGAGAAAGCACUAGCUGAUUUGGAAUCAGAAGCAUGGAAUUGUCUCCUGCAUUUCAUACAGGCUAUGGGAGGACACAGGGAGGUGCAAUAGGAGCCAGUCUGCUUCUCCUGAGGAUUCAGAGUGUCCAGAGGCUGGCACAGCACAGUGCCUGCUGCUCCUCCUGCGCUCCUGGCCUCUGCUCCUUGAAAGGCCAGUGCAAAGCCUGGUAA